Molecule: ribosomal RNA, 277 nt
Filed under: Serratia marcescens
Lineage: Bacteria; Pseudomonadati; Pseudomonadota; Gammaproteobacteria; Enterobacterales; Yersiniaceae
Description: partial 23S ribosomal RNA
Rfam family: Bacterial large subunit ribosomal RNA
Source: RNAcentral
CCGGGGGAACUGAAACAUCUAAGUACCCCGAGGAAAAGAAAUCAACCGAGAUUCCCCCAGUAGCGGCGAGCGAACGGGGAGGAGCCCAGAACCUGAAUCGGCUUGUGUGUUAGUGGAAGCGUCUGGAAAGUCGCGCAGUAAAGGGUGAUAGCCCCGUACACUAAAAUGCACAGGUCGUGAGUUCGAUGAGUAGGGCGGGACACGUGACAUCCUGUCUGAAUAUGGGGGGACCAUCCUCCAAGGCUAAAUACUCCUGACUGACCGAUAGUGAACCAGU